This 715-nucleotide ribosomal RNA is filed under the name uncultured bacterium. RNAcentral's name for it is "bacterial SSU rRNA". It matches the Rfam family "Bacterial small subunit ribosomal RNA", at positions 14 to 774 of the family's 1533-position model. The record is from RNAcentral.
UGAUCAUGGCUCAGAACGUACGCUGGCGGCACGCCUAACACAUGCAAGUCGAACGAAGUAGCAAUACUUAGUGGCAGACGGGUGAGUAACAUGUGGGUAUCUGCCCUUUGGCCUGGAAUAACACGAGGAAACUUGUGCUAAUACCAGAUAAGUCUUUACGGAGAAAGCUUUAUGCACCAUUGGAUGAGCCCGCACUUGAUUAGUUUGUUGGUGGGGUAAUGGCCUACCAAGACUGUGAUCAAUAGCUGAUUUGAGAGGAUGAUCAGCCACAUUGGGACUGAGACACGGCCCAAACUCCUACGGGAGGCAGCAGUGGGGAAUCUUGCACAAUGGAGGAAACUCUGAUGCAGCGAUGCCGCGUGAGUGAAGAAGGCCCUUGGGUUGUAAAGCUCUUUCGUCGGGGAAGAAAAUGACUGUACCCGAAUAAGAAGGUCCGGCUAACUUCGUGCCAGCAGCCGCGGUAAUACGAAGGGACCUAGCGUAGUUCGGAAUUACUGGGCUUAAAGAGUUCGUAGGUGGUUGAAAAAGUUAGUGGUGAAAUCCCAGAGCUUAACUCUGGAACUGCCAUUAAAACUUUUCAGCUAGAGUAUGAUAGAGGAAAGCAGAAUUUCUAGUGUAGAGGUGAAAUUCGUAGAUAUUAGAAAGAAUACCAAUUGCGAAGGCAGCUUUCUGGAUCAUUACUGACACUGAGGAACGAAAGCAUGGGUAGCGAAGA